GACGAACGCUGGCGGCGUGCUUAACACAUGCAAGUCGAACGAUGAAGCCUAGCUUGCUAGGUGGAUUAGUGGCGAACGGGUGAGUAAUACGUGAGUAACCUACCUUUAACUCUGGGAUAAGCCUGGGAAACUGGGUCUAAUACCGGAUACGACCAAUCUCCGCAUGGGGUGUUGGUGGAAAGCGUUAUGUAGUGGUUAUAGAUGGGCUCACGGCCUAUCAGCUUGUUGGUGAGGUAACGGCUCACCAAGGCGACGACGGGUAGCCGGCCUGAGAGGGUGACCGGCCACACUGGGACUGAGACACGGCCCAGACUCCUACGGGAGGCAGCAGUGGGGAAUAUUGCACAAUGGGCGCAAGCCUGAUGCA
Molecule: ribosomal RNA, 367 nt
Filed under: Rothia mucilaginosa
Lineage: Bacteria; Bacillati; Actinomycetota; Actinomycetes; Micrococcales; Micrococcaceae
Description: bacterial SSU rRNA
Rfam family: Bacterial small subunit ribosomal RNA
Source: RNAcentral